Molecule: ribosomal RNA, 209 nt
Filed under: Escherichia coli
Lineage: Bacteria; Pseudomonadati; Pseudomonadota; Gammaproteobacteria; Enterobacterales; Enterobacteriaceae
Description: partial 16S ribosomal RNA
Rfam family: Bacterial small subunit ribosomal RNA
Source: RNAcentral
UUUGAUCAUGGCUCAGAUUGAACGCUGGCGGCAGGCCUAACACAUGCAAGUCGAACGGUAACAGGAAACAGCUUGCUGUUUCGCUGACGAGUGGCGGACGGGUGAGUAAUGUCUGGGAAACUGCCUGAUGGAGGGGGAUAACUACUGGAAACGGUAGCUAAUACCGCAUAACGUCGCAAGACCAAAGAGGGGGACCUUCGGGCCUCUUG